AUUCAGUUAAUGAGUUCCAAAUAAGACGAAACCCGUGUCCUGGAU
RNAcentral lists this non-coding RNA (45 nucleotides) under Schistosoma mattheei. The record is from RNAcentral. Lineage: Eukaryota; Metazoa; Platyhelminthes; Trematoda; Strigeidida; Schistosomatidae.